GCGUGCUUAACACAUGCAAGUCGAACGAGAAGCCCACUUCGGUGGGUGGAGAGUGGCGCACGGGUGCGUAACACGUAGCUCACCUGCCCUCAAGACGGGAAUAACGGUUGGAAACAACCGCUAAUACCCGAUAAGCUCCCGCGCUGUAGAGGCGCGCGAGAAAAGGUUACGGCGCUUGAGGAUGGGGCUGCGGUCCAUCAGCUAGAUGGUGAGGUAACAGCUCACCAUGGCAACGACGGAUAGGGGACCUGAGAGGGUGACCCCCCACACUGGCACUGAGACACGGGCCAGACUCCUACGGGAGGCAGCAGUGAGGAAUAUUGCACAAUGGGCGCAAGCCUGAUGCAGCGACGCCGCGUGGGCGAUGAAGGUCUUCGGAUCGUAAAGCCCUUUUCUGCGUGACGAGAACGGACGGUAGCGCAGGAAUAAGUCUCGGCUAACUACGUGCCAGCAGCCGCGGUAAAACGUAGGAGGCGAGCGUUAUCCGGAGUUACUGGGCGUAAAGCGCGUGUAGGCGGCACAGAGGGUCUGAUAUGAAAGCUCCCAGGCUAGACCGGGAGAGGUCAUUGGAAACCGCUGUGCCAGAGGGUGAUAGAGGGGCGUGGAAUUCCGGGUGUAGUGGUGAAAUGCGUAGAGAUCCGGAGGAACACCAGUGGCGAAGGCGGCGCCCUGGGUCACACCUGACGCUGAGACGCGACAGCAUGGGGAGCGAACGGGAUUAGAAACCCCGGUAGUCCAUGCCGUAAACGAUGCACACUGGGUGUGCGGGCGGGGAAACCCGUUUGCGUGCCGAAGUUAACACGGUAAGUGUGCCGCCUGGGGAGUACGGUCGCAAGGCUAAAACUCAAAGGAAUUGACGGGGGCCCGCACAAGCAGCGGAGCGUGUGGUUUAAUUCGAAGCUACGCGAAGAACCUUACCCAGGCUUGACAUCCUCUGAACGACGUGGAAACACGAAGGUGCCCUCGGGCCAGAGUGACAGGUGCUGCAUGGCUGUCGUCAGCUCGUGCCGUGAGGUGUUCGGUUAAGUCCGCAAACGAGCGCAACCCCUGUGGUCAGUUAUACGUGUCUGGCCAGACUGCCCGUGAGAAACGGGAGGAAGGUGGGGAUGACGUCAAGUCAGCAUGGCCUUUAUGUCUGGGGCUACACACACGCUACAAUGGCGCGUACAGUGGGCAGCCAAGGCGCAAGCCGGAGCGAAUCCCCCAAAGCGCGUCGUAGUUCGGAUGGCAGGCUGCAACUCGCCUGCCUGAAGUCGGAGUUGCUAGUAACCGCAGAUCAGCCACGCUGCGGUGAAUACGUUCCCGGGCCUUGUACACACCGCCCGUCACGUCAUGGGAGCUGGUCACGCCUGAAGCCGGUGGGCUAACCGCAAGGAGGCAGCCGUCGAAGGCAGGGCUGGUGACUGGGACGAAGUC
Molecule: ribosomal RNA, 1416 nt
Filed under: uncultured organism
Description: bacterial SSU rRNA
Rfam family: Bacterial small subunit ribosomal RNA
Source: RNAcentral